RNAcentral lists this ribosomal RNA (388 nucleotides) under uncultured bacterium. RNAcentral's name for it is "bacterial SSU rRNA". It matches the Rfam family "Bacterial small subunit ribosomal RNA", at positions 28 to 420 of the family's 1533-position model. The record is from RNAcentral.
AUUGAACGCUGGCGGCAUGCUUUACACAUGCAAGUCGAGCGGCAGCGCGGGGCAACCUGGCGGCGAGCGGCGAACGGGUGAGGAAUACAUCGGAACGUACCCCGGAGUGGGGGAUAACGCCGCGAAAGCGGCGCUAAUACCGCAUAUGCUCUGAGGAGGAAAGUGGGGGACCGCAAGGCCUCACGCUCUGGGAGCGGCCGAUGUCCGAUUAGCUAGUUGGUGGGGUAAUGGCUUACCAAGGCGACGAUCGGUAGCUGGUCUGAGAGGAUGAUCAGCCACACUGGGACUGAGACACGGCCCAGACUCCUACGGGAGGCAGCAGUGGGGAAUUUUGGACAAUGGGGGCAACCCUGAUCCAGCCAUGCCGCGUGCGGGAAGAAGGCCUCGG